GAUGAAGAACGUAGCGAAAUGCGAUAAGUAGUGUGAAUUGCAGAAUUCAGUGAAUCAUCGAAUCUUUGAACGCACAUUGCGCCCCUUGGUAUCCCGAGGGGCAUGCCUGUUCGAGCGUCAUUUCACCACUCAAGCCUGGCUUGGUGUUGGGCGACGUCCCCUUUGGGGACGCGCCUCGAAACGCUCGGCGGCGUGGCACCGGCUUUAAGCGUAGCAGAAUCUUUCGCUUUGGAAGUCGGGGCCCCGUCUGCCGGAAGACCUACUCGCAAGGUUGACCUCGGAUCAGGCAGGGAUACCCGCUGAACUUAAGCAUAUCAAUACGCGGAGGA
RNAcentral lists this unclassified non-coding RNA (329 nucleotides) under soil metagenome. Its description in RNAcentral is "partial contains 5.8S ribosomal RNA, internal transcribed spacer 2, and large subunit ribosomal RNA". The stretch from base 1 to 120 matches the Rfam family "5.8S ribosomal RNA", at positions 35 to 154 of the family's 154-position model. The record is from RNAcentral.